GGUUGACCUCGGAUCAGGUAGGGAUACCCGCUGAACUUAAGCAUAUCAAUA
RNAcentral lists this ribosomal RNA (51 nucleotides) under Histoplasma capsulatum. RNAcentral's name for it is "partial 28S ribosomal RNA". Lineage: Eukaryota; Fungi; Ascomycota; Eurotiomycetes; Onygenales; Ajellomycetaceae. The record is from RNAcentral. RNAcentral also lists the same sequence under 31 other names.